This 314-nucleotide long non-coding RNA is filed under the name Homo sapiens (human). RNAcentral describes it as "non-protein coding lnc-CD6-1:2". The record is from RNAcentral. Lineage: Eukaryota; Metazoa; Chordata; Mammalia; Primates; Hominidae.
UGCGAACAUUUGAAACUUAGGAGAUUUCAUAUAGAACUCCAGAUUUUUUAUUUCUUUUGAAAAAUUGGAAAUUCUGGUCACCCUGGACCUGAAAUCUUAACAAUCACCAGCCUAGAACAGAGCUGAAGAAAGACAGAUACUCUGUGUUGGAAAUUGCAAAAGCUCUCUGCAAGAACAACUCCAUCCGAACCCUGCCCUACGACACUCAACCAAGCUCUAGCAAAGCUUCUGGCAGCCUCAGGCCACACCCCUGGGACAACCCACCGCCGCUUUGCACUCCUGUGUGGAAAAGCUCAGGGCUGCCAAAAGAAUUC